This 490-nucleotide ribosomal RNA is filed under the name uncultured bacterium. RNAcentral's name for it is "bacterial SSU rRNA". It matches the Rfam family "Bacterial small subunit ribosomal RNA", at positions 29 to 507 of the family's 1533-position model. The record is from RNAcentral.
AUGAACGCUAGCUACAGGCUUAACACAUGCAAGUCGAGGGGCAGCAUGGUCUUAGCUUGCUAAGACUGGAUGGCGACCGGCGCACGGGUGAGUAACACGUAUCCAACCUGCCGUCUACUCUUGGACAGCCUUCUGAAAGGAAGAUUAAUACAAGAUGGCAUCAUGAGUCCGCAUGUUCACAUGAUUAAAGGUAUUCCGGUAGACGAUGGGGAUGCGUUCCAUUAGAUAGUAGGCGGGGUAACGGCCCACCUAGUCUUCGAUGGAUAGGGGUUCUGAGAGGAAGGUCCCCCACAUUGGAACUGAGACACGGUCCAAACUCCUACGGGAGGCAGCAGUGAGGAAUAUUGGUCAAUGGGCGAGAGCCUGAACCAGCCAAGUAGCGUGAAGGAUGACUGCCCUAUGGGUUGUAAACUUCUUUUAUAAAGGAAUAAAGUCGGGUAUGGAUACCCGUUUGCAUGUACUUUAUGAAUAAGGAUCGGCUAACUCCGUG